RNAcentral lists this ribosomal RNA (253 nucleotides) under uncultured bacterium. RNAcentral's name for it is "partial 16S ribosomal RNA". It matches the Rfam family "Bacterial small subunit ribosomal RNA", at positions 524 to 776 of the family's 1533-position model. The record is from RNAcentral.
UACGAAGGGGGCUAGCGUUGCUCGGAAUCACUGGGCGUAAAGCGCACGUAGGCGGAUUGUUAAGUCAGGGGUGAAAUCCUGGAGCUCAACUCCCGAACUGCCUUUGAUACUGGCGAUCUUGAGUCCGGGAGAGGUGAGUGGAACUGCGAGUGUAGAGGUGAAAUUCGUAGAUAUUCGCAAGAACACCAGUGGCGAAGGCGGCUCACUGGCCCGGUACUGACGCUGAGGUGCGAAAGCGUGGGGAGCAAACAGG